This is a non-coding RNA of Pelobates cultripes (western spadefoot toad), 201 nucleotides long. The record is from the annotation of a GenBank genome assembly. NCBI's taxonomy places the organism in Eukaryota, Metazoa, Chordata, Amphibia, Anura, Pelobatidae.
CCCAAGCUUUUUUCAGAUCUUUUAUACGUGUUCCUGUUAUAUAUACGCACUAUAAUUUAAGAUUUUCACCAAACUUCUAAAGAUCCAUUACUUAGAUAGUUAUGGUGCCAGGAGAGUUGUAAAUCUUUACAUCACAUACUUAGCUGAUACGAUACGCCCUGCAUUUGCAGGGAAUAAUGCAGGAGACCUACUGGAAAUUUG